UUAAUCUUUUAUAAGUAUACAGUUCAUAGUGUUAAGUGUAUUCUUUGUUGUGUGUCUUAGCUACUUGUUGCUGAGAUAAAAUACCCAACACCCAAAGUUAAAAGAAGAAAGGUUUUUUGCAGCUCAUAGUUCAUAGAGGUUUCAGUUCAUACUUGGCUGGCUCUAAGGCGGGUUGGCUUGGUGGGGGAUGGAAAUCGUGGAGGAGAAACAGUUCAUGGCAGGCAGAAGGCAGCAAAGUAGUGAAGAAGCGCCAGAUGUGCACACCUGUGACCUGGCACUUGGGAGGCUGAGAAAGGAUUCCCAUAAGUUUGAGGCCAACCUGUGGUACAUACUGAGUUCAAGCCUGGUCUGAGCUGCAGAGCGUAGCAAGGCCCUGUCUCAGAACACCAAAAAAAAAAAAAAAAAAACAGACCGGCAAAGCAAGUGACAAGCAACAACCCUCUGUCUCAUUUUAUCUAGGCUACCUGGCCUUAGGGCAAUAGCACUCACGCUCUUAAUCCUGGCACCACACUGUGAAUCAAUCGGCGCACAUCCUUGAUCCCAGCAUCAAACACCCUAGAUUCAGCAACCUCCAAAAAGCCCCACUUAGGACUGCAUGAGGCUCUGCGGGGACAUCUAGGUACAAACCAUAACAAUUGUGCAACCAAUCUCCAGAACUUUCUCAUCUUGCCUUGGGGUGCAGUGACUUGAAACUCAACCUCCCCUCAGCUCCUGGCAGCCACCAUUCCUCUGACUACUCUAGGGAUCUCACGAUGAAGUCUUAGAAGUGGAAUUGCUCAGCAAAAGCCUACAUUGAUCAUUGUAUUGCUAUUGUCAAACUGCCCUCCAUGGAGGUUGGAAGAACUUACAUUCUCACCAGUGUUAUGAACCCCACCUUUGCCAGCAAGGACUGGUGUCCGUUGAAGAAGAGGAAGAGACACCUCUCUCCUCAUGCACCCAGGAAAGGUGUGUGAGAACAUAGAGAAGCUGAUGUCUGCAACCGGCC
Molecule: long non-coding RNA, 985 nt
Organism: Heterocephalus glaber (naked mole-rat)
Lineage: Eukaryota; Metazoa; Chordata; Mammalia; Rodentia; Bathyergidae
Source: Ensembl